Engraulis encrasicolus (European anchovy) is the source of this 671-nucleotide long non-coding RNA. RefSeq lists it as uncharacterized. The record is from RefSeq and is a predicted model, not a curated record. The transcript has 3 exons. Lineage: Eukaryota; Metazoa; Chordata; Actinopteri; Clupeiformes; Engraulidae.
AUAUAUUGAUCCAUAUAUUUUAAAAUAUAUGGCUGGCAAAACAAAACUGUAUUCCACUAUUCGGUCUGUAUUUCUUGAUGUUUUUAGUUCAGCAAGCACAUUUUGCACGACAUUGGACAUUUACUCGACAUUAUAAAGUCAUUUUAGGUGGACCAUAUAUGGCCAUAUAUAAUAAUAUAUUGAUCAAUAUACAGGAGUCUCUGAUUGAAUCAUCUCAGCUCUCAUAUCACGUAUGACGCGCCUACGUCACGUCGUCACAACCUGAAGCUAAAGUGGCGAGAGAGCCGUCUCGGCUCGAGCGCGGUCCGGUCCGGAUUGUAGCUCCACACAGUCGCCAGCCAGACUCCCCACCACAGUGACACAAACCAACCAGCCGCCUCGAGAGGUUGCUGAAGAGGUAUGCAGCGAUGGUCUGGAGGAAAAAAUAGUCACAUGGACUGGUGUGCAUUCCAGUACUUGAAAUGAUGCUGUUGCUCAGGCACAUCCAGGUGCGAGGAUGGGGGAGAUCCGGAUGUCGCUAAAUAAAAGAAUCUGUGAACUGCUUCACCAAGAGAAAAAGAAGUCCAUGGACAGGCCUAUGAGCCCUCUUGUUGACCUUGAGUGACUGAGGCUGCGGGCGGUCUGCCCCUGAAUUCACCUUCACUUUCACUUUUUUUUUUUUUUAAAUAUAU